Molecule: ribosomal RNA, 436 nt
Filed under: uncultured Barnesiella sp.
Lineage: Bacteria; Pseudomonadati; Bacteroidota; Bacteroidia; Bacteroidales; Barnesiellaceae
Description: bacterial SSU rRNA
Rfam family: Bacterial small subunit ribosomal RNA
Source: RNAcentral
UGAGGAAUAUUGGUCAAUGGGCGAGAGCCUGAACCAGCCAAGUCGCGUGAGGGAAGACGGUCCUACGGAUUGUAAACCUCUUUUGUCGGGGAACAAAAGGCGCCACGCGUGGUGUAUAGAGUGUACCCGAAGAAAAAGCAUCGGCUAACUCCGUGCCAGCAGCCGCGGUAAUACGGAGGAUGCGAGCGUUAUCCGGAUUUAUUGGGUUUAAAGGGUGCGUAGGCGGCUUUGCAAGUCAGCGGUGAAAGGCCCGGGCUCAACCCGGAAAGUGCCGUUGAUACUGUGAGGCUGGAAUGCGGAUGCUGUGGGAGGAAUGAGUGGUGUAGCGGUGAAAUGCAUAGAUAUCACUCAGAACACCGAUUGCGAAGGCAUCUCACAAAUCCGCAAUUGACGCUGAGGCACGAAAGCGUGGGGAUCGAACAGGAUUAGAUACCCU